RNAcentral lists this small nucleolar RNA (86 nucleotides) under Echeneis naucrates (live sharksucker). RNAcentral's name for it is "Small nucleolar RNA SNORD35 (ENSENLG00000013672.1)". It matches the Rfam family "Small nucleolar RNA SNORD35". From Rfam's summary of the family: U35 is a C/D box snoRNA located in intron 6 of ribosomal protein L13A and intron 3 of ribosomal protein S11 in humans and at homologous positions in mouse and chicken ribosomal protein genes. U35 guides the methylation of 2'-O-ribose sites in 28S rRNA. Lineage: Eukaryota; Metazoa; Chordata; Actinopteri; Carangiformes; Echeneidae. The record is from Rfam by way of RNAcentral.
UGCAAGUGAUGUUUUUUCUCACGAUGGUCUUCCAAGCCUGCAGGGUUCUGACGACAAUGCCUUCUGGCAAAAACUGAUGCAGUCAA